RNAcentral lists this non-coding RNA (22 nucleotides) under Arabidopsis thaliana (thale cress). Lineage: Eukaryota; Viridiplantae; Streptophyta; Magnoliopsida; Brassicales; Brassicaceae. The record is from RNAcentral.
UCAUGUGCCCAUCUUCACCAUC